GCUAGUGUAGUUCAAUGGCAGAGCAACUCGCUGUGGCCGAGUAAACCCAGGUUCAACUCCUGGCACUAGCA
This 71-nucleotide transfer RNA is filed under the name Marseillevirus LCMAC201. Its description in RNAcentral is "tRNA-His". It matches the Rfam family "tRNA". Rfam says of the family: Transfer RNA (tRNA) molecules are approximately 80 nucleotides in length. Lineage: Varidnaviria; Bamfordvirae; Nucleocytoviricota; Megaviricetes; Pimascovirales; Marseilleviridae. The record is from RNAcentral.